Molecule: long non-coding RNA, 500 nt
Organism: Limulus polyphemus (Atlantic horseshoe crab)
Lineage: Eukaryota; Metazoa; Arthropoda; Merostomata; Xiphosura; Limulidae
Exons: 3
Source: RefSeq, a predicted model, not a curated record
AGAUUAUAUAGCGAAAAUAACAUAAGAUCGUAGAAGUUAAAGACGUAAACAUAUUUUGUUAAUAAAUUAUGAGAACUAAACUAGAAAAAUAAUAACUGUUAAUAAUGUGAUGAUUGAGGUUAAAUUUUGAAAGUGAAAUUUGAUGCUGAUACUACGACUUCAGUGUCGGACAUAUCGCCGGGUAUUUUUUAUGUGUGUAUAUUUUUGACAGAUGAUACAUUGCUCUAACUAAAAAGUUAGAUGACAUUUUGUUUUCUAAGCGUAAGACACCAAAACUUCAAGUAAGAUGCUUUGGAGGCUGUGAUAUCACUGGAGUUACACGCGUGUUGAAAAACUUGACCAAAAUUUCCAAGAAACAAAUAGAUGGGGACCCGAGCUGCAGCGUUUGCAGCUAAAAUCAGAAACCUUCAGGACUACCACACAAGGAUACUGAAAGGAACUGUUCCACUUCCAAAUGGCAUUGAUGUUACUAAUACUUUGAAAUACUUUUCACAGACACU